UACGAGGGGGGCAAGCGUUGUUCGGAAUUAUUGGGCGUAAAGGGUGCGUAGGCGGUUCAGCAAGUCUUGUGUGAAAUCUUCGGGCUCAACCCGAAGUCUGCACAGGAAACUACUGGGCUUGAGUAUUGGAGAGGUGAGUGGAAUUUCCGGUGUAGCGGUGAAAUGCGUAGAUAUCGGAAGGAACACCUGUGGCGAAAGCGGCUCACUGGACAAUUACUGACGCUGAUGCACGAAAGCUAGGGGAGCAAACAGG
Molecule: ribosomal RNA, 253 nt
Filed under: uncultured bacterium
Lineage: Bacteria
Description: partial 16S ribosomal RNA
Rfam family: Bacterial small subunit ribosomal RNA
Source: RNAcentral